RNAcentral lists this transfer RNA (60 nucleotides) under Dipodomys ordii (Ord's kangaroo rat). It matches the Rfam family "tRNA", at positions 7 to 64 of the family's 71-position model. Rfam says of the family: Transfer RNA (tRNA) molecules are approximately 80 nucleotides in length. Their secondary structure includes four short double-helical elements and three loops (D, anti-codon, and T loops). Further hydrogen bonds mediate the characteristic L-shaped molecular structure. tRNAs have two regions of fundamental functional importance: the anti-codon, which is responsible for specific mRNA codon recognition, and the 3' end, to which the tRNAs corresponding amino acid is attached (by aminoacyl-tRNA synthetases). tRNAs cope with the degeneracy of the genetic code in two manners: having more than one tRNA (with a specific anti-codon) for a particular amino acid; and 'wobble' base-pairing, i.e. permitting non-standard base-pairing at the 3rd anti-codon position. The record is from Rfam by way of RNAcentral. Lineage: Eukaryota; Metazoa; Chordata; Mammalia; Rodentia; Heteromyidae.
GUGACUCAGUGGUAGAGUGCUUGCCUUGCAUGCAUGAGGUCCUGGGUUCGAUUCCUUAGC